GGCAGAAAACGUGAGGUGGGAAUCAAAUCAUGCUGGGCUUUUUGGCCAGCAAACUUGGAAAUCAUGUCUUAGAGAUCAAGGAGCCAAGAGAUGAGACAAGCCUGGGUUCCUAGGUGAUAGGGUGUGGCUGUGUCCCCACCCAAAUCUCGUCUUGAAUUGUAGCUCCCAUAAUCCCCACAUGUUGUGGAGGGACCCUGUGGAAGGUAAUUGAAUUAUGGAGAUUGUGCCUGCAGCCUGGCCUGUUGCCCACAGCGGUCUACCUGCCACACUGGGAAAGAUCGAGCAGAGACAGAGAAGAAAAGGAGGCUCCAUUUUUCAGGCUGCUCUCCCGCAGGCUCAUGUUUUGUGUUCAUGCCAGGCAGAGAACACAAAAUGUUCCAAUAAAUAAGUAUCAAAGCAUCUACUUGUUUCCAAAGUUAUUUGGGUCAGCAUUUUCCUCCACCCACCACUUAAAACUGAUUUGUUUCAUACAUUUGAAAUGUAUGAAAAGCCAGAAAUCCAGGACCCACCCUGGCCUGCUCCCUUUUUCUCACCUACUGUGUUAAGGAUAAGUCAAUUGAGCUUCACUUCUCUAAUUGAAAUCACCGUGCUGAUGGAGUCUGUCUGUGGAAAUGAAAGGUGGCUACCAUAAUCUGUUGGGAGUUGAAUUAAUCCUCUGGGAGUGAGGCUGACCUAAUUACUCAGAAAUACUGGGCUUGCUUUCAUUCUGUGGAAUACAGCCAUGAGAAAGAGGCCAGCAUGCCAUUUCCUAAUCUUUUCUUGAAUUGCCUGAAACUCACCUAACAUGAAACUGAGAAGCCUUUUCAUUUGAAAGUGGUAUUUCUUAUGUUUUUUAUCUUUUUGCUUGAAAGUAUUCUUAAACUAAAGAAAGGAGAAACAGAAAAGGUGAAGAAGCCAAGAGGCUGGAGUUUCCUUUUGAAUGGAUAUUCAUCCAUGAAGCUGUUGAUUCUGUUUUUCUGUUCCUCCAGAUGUCUACACUUUUACCUCUGCUUGCCUGAUACAACCACCACCAGUCACCUCACAGAAUAACUCACUCCUUAAGAAUCUGAUCAGGAAUCAGCCUUCCCUGAUCACAAACACUGAGUUUAGAAGUCCCUCCACAGUGUCCCCCGUAACCCUGUGCUACCUCACUGCCUCAUAGUUUAGUGCCGUUUGUGUACAUGCCUAUCUUCGUCCAUGGAUCCAGAACAACUUGUAAAAAUGACUGUACUUAUCACCUUCAGUAUUCAAUGACUAAACUAUAAUUUUAACAUAUCUGGCAGAAUGAAUCACUUGGGGAUUUCUGCCAACACUACCAAUAUAUUACUCCUAAUUUGUAAUUAUUACUUAGCAUGGAUUAUAGUACCGGCUGUUGGAGAGCCAAUGUGGCAGACCCUAAGUGGAAUAAAAUGUCAGUAGCAGUCUAGGAGCAUAUAUUUAUUGGAAUAGAUCAUUCAUUCAUUUGUUCAUUAACUAAUUUGUUCAUUAAAUAAACAUUUAUUAAGC
Molecule: long non-coding RNA, 1485 nt
Filed under: Homo sapiens (human)
Lineage: Eukaryota; Metazoa; Chordata; Mammalia; Primates; Hominidae
Description: CCDC26 long non-coding RNA
Source: RNAcentral